This 273-nucleotide long non-coding RNA is filed under the name Elaeis guineensis (African oil palm). RNAcentral describes it as "long non-coding RNA (EGUI_LNC054716)". The record is from RNAcentral. Lineage: Eukaryota; Viridiplantae; Streptophyta; Magnoliopsida; Arecales; Arecaceae.
UGGGUAAUCUUGUUUGAAGUGCCCAAUCUCAUUGCACUUAUAGCACCUGGCUUCCUUCUUGCUCCUGCUCUUUCGAGACUUUGAUCGUCUCCUUGACUUACCUCUUUCUCUUCCUCUUCCUAAUCUCUCCCCCACGACCAAGUCUUCCUGGAGAGCACCUUCCUUGGUCAACUUCUCUCACUGUUCUUUGACUGCAGCAUCGAGACCAUGUCUUCAUAUUCCAGGGUCUCCUUGCCAUAGAGCAGGAUCGUCACCAAUGGAUCAUAAGAAGGA